GCUAAAUUCAAGCUAGUGGGCUCAUAACCCAAAAAUGAUGUAAUCUCUUAUUA
RNAcentral lists this transfer RNA (53 nucleotides) under Lampsilis siliquoidea. Its description in RNAcentral is "tRNA-Met". The record is from RNAcentral. Lineage: Eukaryota; Metazoa; Mollusca; Bivalvia; Unionida; Unionidae.